GAUGAACGCUGGCGGCGUGCCUAAUACAUGCAAGUCGAGCGAACAGACGAGGAGCUUGCUCCUCUGAUGUUAGCGGCGGACGGGCGAGUAACACGUGGAUAACCUACCUAUAAGACUGGGAUAACUUCGGGAAACCGGAGCUAAUACCGGAUAACAUGUUGAACCGCAUGGUUCAACAGUGAAAGACGGUCUUGCUGUCACUUAUAGAUGGAUCCGCGCCGCAUUAGCUAGUUGGUAAGGUAACGGCUUACCAAGGCAACGAUGCGUAGCCGACCUGAGAGGGUGAUCGGCCACACUGGAACUGAGACACGGUCCAGACUCCUACGGGAGGCAGCAGUAGGGAAUCUUCCGCAAUGGGCGAAAGCCUGACGGAGCAACGCCGCGUGAGUGAAGAAGGUCUUCGGAUCGUAAAACUCUGUUAUUAGGGAAGAACAAAUGUGUAAGUAACUAUGCACGUCUUGACGGUACCUAACCAGAAAGCCACGGCUAACUACGUG
RNAcentral lists this ribosomal RNA (497 nucleotides) under uncultured bacterium. RNAcentral describes it as "partial 16S ribosomal RNA". It matches the Rfam family "Bacterial small subunit ribosomal RNA", at positions 28 to 507 of the family's 1533-position model. The record is from RNAcentral.